ACGGGAGGCAGCAGUGAGGAAUAUUGGUCAAUGGACGCAAGUCUGAACCAGCCAUGCCGCGUGCAGGAAUAAGGCCCUAUGGGUCGUAAACUGCUUUUGUGGUGGAGCAAUAAGUCGUACGUGUACGACGAUGAGAGUACAUCACGAAUAAGCAUCGGCUAACUCCGUGCCAGCAGCCGCGGUAAUACGGAGGAUGCAAGCGUUAUCCGGAUUUAUUGGGUUUAAAGGGUGCGUAGGCGGAGGAUCAAGUCAGUGGUGAAAUGGUGCGGCUCAACCGUAGCAUUGCCGUUGAAACUGGUUUUCUAGAGUGCGAAUGAGGUGGGCGGAAUGUGUCAUGUAGCGGUGAAAUGCAUAGAUAUGACACAGAACACCGAUUGCGAAGGCAGCUCACUGGGACGCAACUGACGCUGAGGCACGAAAGUGCGGGGAUCGAACAGGAUUAGAUACCCUGGUA
Molecule: ribosomal RNA, 454 nt
Filed under: uncultured Solitalea sp.
Lineage: Bacteria; Pseudomonadati; Bacteroidota; Sphingobacteriia; Sphingobacteriales; Sphingobacteriaceae
Description: partial 16S ribosomal RNA
Rfam family: Bacterial small subunit ribosomal RNA
Source: RNAcentral